UACGAAGGGGGCUAGCGUUGCUCGGAAUCACUGGGCGUAAAGGGCGCGUAGGCGGACAGUUUAGUCAGAGGUGAAAGCCCAGGGCUCAACCUUGGAAUUGCCUUUGAUACUGGCUGUCUUGAGUUCGGGAGAGGUGAGUGGAACUCCGAGUGUAGAGGUGAAAUUCGUAGAUAUUCGGAAGAACACCAGUGGCGAAGGCGACUCACUGGCCCGAUACUGACGCUGAGGCGCGAAAGCGUGGGGAGCAAACAGG
This 253-nucleotide ribosomal RNA is filed under the name uncultured bacterium. RNAcentral's name for it is "partial 16S ribosomal RNA". It matches the Rfam family "Bacterial small subunit ribosomal RNA", at positions 524 to 776 of the family's 1533-position model. The record is from RNAcentral.